Macaca mulatta (Rhesus monkey) is the source of this 1199-nucleotide non-coding RNA. Lineage: Eukaryota; Metazoa; Chordata; Mammalia; Primates; Cercopithecidae. The record is from RefSeq and is a predicted model, not a curated record.
UGUCAAUGUGUACGAGGUCCUGUCCUUGGGUACAGUGACUUCUGAGGCGAUCCCAGAGGAUGGGGUAAAGGCUUUAGUCCCGUCUGGUUAAAGGAUGUAACAUCACUGGGGACCUGAGCAAUCACUCCCCCUUCAUUGUUCUGGACAGUGGGGAGAAGCAGAGAAAGCAAAAGAGAAAAGUCACUGGGAGAGGAAUCUGAUGAGAGAAAGAUAAAGAUGAAUUAGGACUCAGUGAGACAACCAAACAUGAAGUACAAAGAAAGGAAAAAGAGAGCUUGGAAAAAGAGAAUAACAAGAAGAGAAGAAGGAGACAAGAGGGAAGAGACAAUGAGAAAGAGUAACUUGACAAGAUUGAAUCUAGAAUUUAUUAUUUAUUAUCUAUCUUUCUAUCUUAUCUUUCCCUCUCUCUUUCUCUCCAUAUACUUUCUAUGAGUGUCUUCAGAAGUGGAGGAGACAAGAGGGCCUUUUUUGGAGGGCAUUGCCAUUCUCCCCUAUUCUUUGGCCUCUAUUUAUGGUACCCAGGGUGCGUUAUAUGUAAUUUAUAGCCAUACUCUUAUAAAUCAGUGUCAUGAAUGCCCCCCAGUGGCCUCAACCUACAGAUCACAACAGUUAUUAAACCAUGUGGCCAUGCAUUUGGCCUUGGCAUUCCCUGGUCAGCUUCUCUUUUAAUUAGAGUUUUACAUACUGGAUACAUGUAACAGUAGAACCUGGCAUAACUUUUUCUUCCUGAGCAACAAGGUGACUUGAUUGUUCCAAUUGUUAUAUAACUCAAUUGCCUGCCAUAUUUUAUUUAUCAUUUUAACUCAAAUAAGACAUAUUGGUACAGAUGUCUGUUUAGAUAUAUUUACCUUGCUGUGAAUGUGACUAUGAUAUGACUGUAUCCACAUAAGAGAAUGGGGCAUACAGGUUUAUUGAAUAGAGCCCUGGGAUAGGAGGUGGAGGCCCAGGUACUCAUUUUUAAGCCUGUCACCAACUAGUUGUAUGAUGUCCUUCAAGUUUUCUGAAUCACAGUCUCUAUAAAUUAAACUAAACUAGAUGUAAAAUGAAGGGUCCUUCAAGUUUUCUGAAUCAUAGUCUCUAUAUAUUAAACUAAACUAGAUGUAAAAUGAGGGGUCAUACCCUGUGAACUUGAAGAUCUUUUGUAAUUCUAACAGUUCAUGGCUCUAAGAAUUUUGAAGUAAAAGAAUGGUGAAAUCAUA